UGCAAGUCGAACGAAGUCUUCGGACUUAGUGGCGCACGGGUGCGUAACGCGUGGGAAUCUGCCCUUAGGUACGGAAUAACUCAGAGAAAUUUGAGCUAAUACCGUAUGAUGUCUUCGGACCAAAGAUUUAUCGCCUAAGGAUGAGCCCGCGUUGGAUUAGCUAGUUGGUGGGGUAAAGGCCUACCAAGGCGACGAUCCAUAGCUGGUCUGAGAGGAUGAUCAGCCACACUGGGACUGAGACACGGCCCAGACUCCUACGGGAGGCAGCAGUGGGGAAUAUUGGACAAUGGGGGAAACCCUGAUCCAGCAAUGCCGCGUGAGUGAUGAAGGCCUUAGGGUUGUAAAGCUCUUUUACCCGGGAUGAUAAUGACAGUACCGGGAGAAUAAGCUCCGGCUAACUCCGUGCCAGCAGCCGCGGUAAUACGGAGGGAGCUAGCGUUGUUCGGAAUUACUGGGCGUAAAGCGCGCGUAGGCGGUUUUGCAAGUUAGAGGUGAAAGCCCGGGGCUCAACCCCGGAACUGCCUUUAAAACUGCAUCACUUGAAUCCAGGAGAGGUGAGUGGAAUUCCGAGUGUAGAGGUGAAAUUCGUAGAUAUUCGGAAGAACACCAGUGGCGAAGGCGGCUCACUGGACUGGUAUUGACGCUGAGGUGCGAAAGUGUGGGGAGCAAACAGGAUUAGAUACCCUGGUAGUCCACACCGUAAACGAUGAUAACUAGCUGUCCGGGUGCAUGGCACUUUGGGUGGCGCAGCUAACGCAUUAAGUUAUCCGCCUGGGGGAGUACGGUCGCAAGAUUAAAACUCAAAGGAAUUGACGGGGG
This 819-nucleotide ribosomal RNA is filed under the name Stakelama sp. CPA-20. RNAcentral describes it as "bacterial SSU rRNA". It matches the Rfam family "Bacterial small subunit ribosomal RNA", at positions 56 to 919 of the family's 1533-position model. Lineage: Bacteria; Pseudomonadati; Pseudomonadota; Alphaproteobacteria; Sphingomonadales; Sphingomonadaceae. The record is from RNAcentral.